CCUACGGGAGGCAGCAGUGGGGAAUCUUGCGCAAUGGGCGAAAGCCUGACGCAGCAACGCCGCGUGCGGGAAGAAGGCUUUCGGGCUGUAAACCGCUUUCAGCAGGAACGAAAAUGACGGUACCUGCAGAAGAAGGAGCGGCCAACUAUGUGCCAGCAGCCGCGGUGAUACAUAGGCUUCAAGCGUUGUCCGGAUUUAUUGGGCGUAAAGAGUUCGUAGGCGGUCGAGUAAGUCGGGUGUGAAAAUUCUGGGCUCAACCCAGAGACGCCACCCGAUACUGCUUAACUUGAGUUCGAUAGGGGAGUGGGGAAUUCCUAGUGUAGCGGUGAAAUGCGCAGAUAUUAGGAGGAACACCGGUGGCGAAGGCGCCACUCUGGAUCGAUACUGACGCUGAGGAACGAAAGCAUGGGUAGCAAACAGGAUUAGAUACCCUGGUAGUCCAUGCCGUAAACGGUGGGCACUAGGUGUGGGAUUCUAUUAACGAAUUCCGCGCCGUCGCUAACGCAUUAAGUGCCCCGCCUGGGGAGUACGGUCGCAAGACUAAAACUUAAAGGAAUUGACGG
Molecule: ribosomal RNA, 563 nt
Filed under: uncultured bacterium
Lineage: Bacteria
Description: bacterial SSU rRNA
Rfam family: Bacterial small subunit ribosomal RNA
Source: RNAcentral